This 253-nucleotide ribosomal RNA is filed under the name uncultured bacterium. Its description in RNAcentral is "partial 16S ribosomal RNA". It matches the Rfam family "Bacterial small subunit ribosomal RNA", at positions 524 to 776 of the family's 1533-position model. The record is from RNAcentral.
UACGAAGGGGGCAAGCGUUGUUCGGAAUUACUGGGCGUAAAGGGCGCGUAGGCGGCCGAUCAAGUCAGGCGUGAAAUUCCCGGGCUCAACCUGGGGGCUGCGCUUGAUACUGAUUGGCUUGAAUGCGGGAGAGGAUAGUGGAAGUCCCAGUGUAGAGGUGAAAUUCGUAGAUAUUGGGAAGAACACCGGUGGCGAAGGCGGCUAUCUGGCCCGUAAUUGACGCUGAGGCGCGAAAGCGUGGGGAGCAAACAGG